This 1235-nucleotide ribosomal RNA is filed under the name uncultured bacterium. RNAcentral describes it as "bacterial SSU rRNA". It matches the Rfam family "Bacterial small subunit ribosomal RNA", at positions 102 to 1315 of the family's 1533-position model. The record is from RNAcentral.
ACGGGUGAGUAACACGUAGAUAAUCUACCUUCAAGCCCGGGAUAGCCUUCGAAAGGAUGGCUAAUACCGGAUGCAGUUUCAGUACACAAGUGCUGAGAUGAAAGAUUGCCUCUUCUUGAAAGCAAUUGUUUGGAGAUGAGUUUGCGUACCAUUAGCUUGUUGGUGGGGUAAAAGCCUACCAAGGCUGCGAUGGCUAGCUGGUCUGAGAGGAUGAUCAGUCACACUGGAACUGGAACACGGUCCAGACUCCUACGGGAGGCAGCAGUGAGGAAUUUUGCGCAAUGGGGGAAACCCUGACGCAGCAACGCCGCGUGAGUGAAGAAGGCCCUUGGGUCGUAAAGCUCUGUCAACUGGGAAGAAGUUGUUAUUAUUUAAUAAAUGAUAGCAUUGACGGUACCAGUGGAGGAAGCGCCGGCUAACUCCGUGCCAGCAGCCGCGGUAACACGGGGGGCGCAAGCGUUAUUCGGAAUUAUUGGGCGUAAAGGGCGCGUAGGCGGUUCUGUCGGUCAGAUGUGAAAAGCCCGGGGCUCAACCCUGGAAGUGCAUUUGAAACAGCAGAACUUGAGUACGGGAGAGGAAAGCGGAAUUCCUGGUGUAGAGGUGAAAUUCGUAGAUAUCAGGAGGAACACCGAUGGCGAAGGCAGCUUUCUGGACCGAUACUGACGCUGAGGCGCGAAGGCGUGGGUAGCGAACAGGAUUAGAUACCCUGGUAGUCCACGCAGUAAACGAUGUUCACUAGGUGUAGCGGAUAUUAAAAUCUGCUGUGCCGCAGCUAACGCAUUAAGUGAACCGCCUGGGAAGUACGGUCGCAAGACUAAAACUCAAAGGAAUUGACGGGGGCCCGCACAAGCGGUGGAGCAUGUGGUUUAAUUCGACGCAACGCGAAGAACCUUACCUGGGUUUGACAUCCUGUGAAUCUUCAAGAGAUUGAAGAGUGCCUUCGGGAGCACAGAGACAGGUGCUGCAUGGCUGUCAUCAGCUCGUCUCGUGAGAUGUUUGGUUAAGUCCAGCAACGAGCGCAACCCUUAUCGUCAGUUGCCAGCGCGUAAUGGCGGGAACUCUGGCGAGACUGCCCCGGUUAACGGGGAGGAAGGUGGGGAUGACGUCAAGUCCUCAUGGCCCUUAUAUCCAGGGCUACACACGUGCUACAAUGGUGGGUACAAAGGGCAGCGAACCCGCGAGGGUGAGCGAAUCCUCAAAGCCUAUCUCAGUCCGGAUUGGAGUCUGCAACUCGA